RNAcentral lists this long non-coding RNA (2125 nucleotides) under Betta splendens (Siamese fighting fish). RNAcentral describes it as "lncRNA (ENSBSLG00000015866.1)". Lineage: Eukaryota; Metazoa; Chordata; Actinopteri; Anabantiformes; Osphronemidae. The record is from RNAcentral.
GAAGUGUCCGGUUUGUGAUCAUUCGUACAAUUGUCAUCAUUACACUGGUGGUUCCAUUGUUGCUUAUAACAAAAAUUGUGAUCAAGAAAAAAACAAAGGUUGAAUCUCAACACAACAAGACACAACAGAAUGCAGAACCUGAGGGAGUUUAUCAAACACUCCAGCCAACGACUGAGGAGCAAGUCUACAGCAGCCUCACAGUGAUGGAGCAGGACUCCUCACAGCCGUCACCACAUCCACUCACUCUCUAACUGCUGGAGUCUCACUCUAUGUGAUAAAAUGAUGAUCUGACGAACCCAACUGAUGAAUGCGUGCAAUGAACGUUAUGCUACCAAAGGAGAACAUUAAAUGGCCAUAUUGUGGGGAAUUAACUGUCUAUGGCUGCUGCAAACAAAAUAAUUUCCAUAUUGUGCUUUUUGUUCAAAUUGUGAGUUGUCAAUAAAAUGGUUUUCAUCUCUUUUAUGUGUAUUUGUACUGUACAUGUUUUCUAUUUUAUAAUACUGUGGUAUGUGUGUACUGUCUUUACUACUGUAGACUGGCUGGUUAUAUGUUGGGUGUCCAUGUUGGGUAACAGGUAGGAUUAGGCCUGUAGGGAUGUAGUGUUUUAAGGAGCGGUGUCCUCACACAGAAGGACACAGCUGGUGUGUCUGUGAGUCAGAGGGAGGAGUUUUGACCUAAUCGAGGGUAAAGAGGAAAAGGAAGUUAUCCUCUGCAGAGACAGUCGUGAACUUAGCCUCAUUCCUGUUCACUAGUGUUUGUGUGCGUUGUCAGUUUCACAAUGAUGAAAGUCUGUGUGUGGACCGUGUGUCUGUUUACUGGUGAGUUUGUUCUACAUUCUCUUUACUUCACUUUUAAUUUGUUAGUAUGUGGAGUUAAUAAUGCAUCACUAAUAAAAUAACCAUCAUGUUUGAACUAAUGUAUGAACUAUAUGAAUGUUUCUCUGCUUGUCAUUUGUAGCUCUGACUGUCGGGGUAAAGAGUCUAACACAAACAGGUUACGUUGGAAAAAAUGUAACAUUCCACUGCUCAGACUGGAAGGGUUUCAUUUGGAGUAAUGUGAAAUCUUACGUUAAGUACAUUUGUAACAACCCAUGUAAAGAAGACAAACAUGUGAUCAUGAAAGUAAAACCUGGAGAGACUAAACAUGAGAACAGAAUAUAUUUAUUCAACAACGGAGUAACUUUGUCUGUGACCUUCAUUAAUCUCCAGAAGUCAGACUCUAGGACAUAUUACUGUGGACUGGAUGAGAAUUUACGAGACUCAUUAAUAGAAGUGAACCUUAACGUUAGAGAUGCAUUGAUUCCUGGUCCACAGACAACAGUUAGAACAGUCAGUGUCUGGUCAAGCUCCACUGUGUCUUCAAACAGCAAAGAUAUUACUUCAGAUAUUUCACCAUUGUUCACCACACGUCAGUCAACAGCAGCUGCUGCAUCGGAAGCACAUAAAGAAGAAGGAAAUGGAACAGGAAGUGUCCUGUACUUGAUCAUUGGUUUCACUGUUGUAAUAACUACACUGGUUCUUCUAUUGUGUCUAAUGAUGAAGAUAAAGAAAGAGAGAAAGAAAAAGGUGUCUAAGUCUGGUUCACCAGAAGCCGUCGUACAACAGGAUGCCGACUAUGCUGAAAUCAGACAUGAAGACCACACUGAGAGGGCGUCUGCUGCUGACGUUUACCCAGAGACGCUCUAUGCAAAUUAUUCCAGCCAACAGGACACAGCACAGCAGGACAGGGCUUCACACGAUGCUUCUGCUUCUAGUCCCCACGUCAGACACACAGAUUCCCAGUUUGAAUGUCUUUACUCUGUCGCUCAACUUCCUGAAGAGCGGCCUGAGUGUGAAUCUGCAAUAAAUGACUCAAGAUGCACCAUCUAUAGCGUAGUUAAGCCAGCACAGAUAACAUGAGGACUACUAAUACUACAGAUGAAAAGUGCUACACAAACCUCUGGCACAGUCACACAUGAAGUCUAAUAGUAGGAGGAGAGCAGCCAGCGCAUGCUAGCAAAGUGUUUUCAACAUGUUGCUGUGUUCAGGGGUUAACAAGUCAUUUCAGCUUUUAUUUGUUAUUAUAAUAUAUUAUAUUUGUACGUACGUAAUAAUAUAAAAUAAAUACAUGCUGCAUUUUAUGAACA